This 194-nucleotide ribosomal RNA is filed under the name Staphylococcus sp. RNAcentral's name for it is "partial 16S ribosomal RNA". It matches the Rfam family "Bacterial small subunit ribosomal RNA", at positions 369 to 555 of the family's 1533-position model. The record is from RNAcentral. Lineage: Bacteria; Bacillati; Bacillota; Bacilli; Caryophanales; Staphylococcaceae.
CAAUGGGCCGAAGCCUGACGGAGCAACCCCCGCUGAGUGAUGAAGGUCUUCGGAUCGUAAAACUCUGUUAUUAGGGGAGAACAAACGUUUAAAUAACUGUGCACGUCUUGACCGUACCCAAUCAGAAAGCCACGGCUAACUACGUGCCAGCAGCCGCGGUAAUACGUAGGUGGCAAGCGUUAUCCGGAAUUAUU